UACAGAGGGUGCGAGCGUUAAUCGGAAUUAUUGGGCGUAAAGCGCGCGUAGGCGGUUACUCAAGUCGGAUGUGAAAGCCCUCGGCUUAACUGAGGAAGUGCACCCGAAACUGAGUAGCUAGAGUACUAAAGAGGGUCGCGGAAUUCCCGGUGUAGAGGUGAAAUUCGUAGAUAUCGGGAGGAACACCGGUGGCGAAGGCGGCGACCUGGGUAGAUACUGACGCUGAGGCGCGAAAGCGUGGGGAGCAAACAGG
RNAcentral lists this ribosomal RNA (253 nucleotides) under uncultured bacterium. RNAcentral's name for it is "partial 16S ribosomal RNA". It matches the Rfam family "Bacterial small subunit ribosomal RNA", at positions 524 to 776 of the family's 1533-position model. The record is from RNAcentral.